This 147-nucleotide long non-coding RNA is filed under the name Coturnix japonica (Japanese quail). RNAcentral's name for it is "lncRNA (ENSCJPG00005013046.1)". Lineage: Eukaryota; Metazoa; Chordata; Aves; Galliformes; Phasianidae. The record is from RNAcentral.
AUGGAGAGACAGAUUAACCAGCAGUAUAGGCUGCAUCAAGGGCAGCCUGCCUCCUUUACCUCAUGCAGAGCUUCUUGGAAGCAUGAAAACCAACAGCAGUUGUUUUGAAGACAGAUGCAAACAUCGAAGCAAAAGCUAUUGAAAAUG